Molecule: long non-coding RNA, 3135 nt
Organism: Leopardus geoffroyi (Geoffroy's cat)
Lineage: Eukaryota; Metazoa; Chordata; Mammalia; Carnivora; Felidae
Exons: 5
Source: RefSeq, a predicted model, not a curated record
UAUAGCCGGCGCCGCGACCCGCGUGACCCGCAGCGCCUCGCCCCGGCUCCGGAGCCCCGCCCCCGGGGGUGGUGCAGCCCACGCCUGCCCGGCGUGCCCAAUCGGGACAACAGAGCGCCUCUGCCAACCAGACUAUAAGAAGAGAGAGAUGGGAGAUUAGGGUGGGUCCUGGCCACCUCACCAGGGGAGAGAGCAUCAGUGGAGUACGGCCCUUAGAGACCUGGACUUGUCUUGGUCCUGAUAAUCUUCAUCCUCCCAUAGGGGAGAAGAAAGCCCAAGAGACUUGCAGUCAAGGAAAUGUUUCUGAGGUCAUUGUUCAAUGAGCAUGAAGUAAGCAUCCCGGAAAUAGUCUGCUUGGAGGGGACGAACUGCAGUGGAAUGGGAACAUUGUGGAACAAGACCAGGUUCAAAGGCAAUUUCAGAGGCUGUCCAUUAGGAUUUGGAUGGAGCAGGGAAGAGAAGGCAGGAGCCUUUGAAUAAAUGGAAACUGCCUCUGCUCUACCCACAACUCCCACUUGGUUAUGCUUACACAUGAAUGAGGUAGAAAUUACUGUGAUUGCGACUGAUGGUUUACAACUUGCCAAGCACUGUUUCAGGUGCUCUGUGUGUAUCAUAUCAUGCGACACUCUCAAUAAACUUUAGGUUGAUGCACCUUGUUUUGCAGACUAAGAAACUGAGGCCCAGAGAAUGAAGCAACAGUUAAAUGAGCGAAGCACUUAACAAACUUCAAGUCCGUAGGUGCCUUUUCUCCGGCUGUCAGACUGCGGCUUUCCACCUGAGGUCCCAAUGAGCACUUAAAAAAAAGAGAGAAAUAAAAGAGAAAAUAUCAGAGUGCAUCCAACAUACUGGAGCAACCACACUGCAGUCCUCUUGGCCACAGCGGGAAGACAGCAGGCCUACCAAGUGGGAGAAGAAAUCAAACACCAGUGGAACUGCAGGACAUGGCCAGUGAGUCCAGCAGGAGUUGGAGAAUUGACAUGGGACUGGAUUCUCCUUGUGUUGCAUCAAGGGAGGCAAACCAUGAAGUUGGAUGAAGGAGAGUAGAUUGAAUCGGGAGCACUACUAUGUGGUACAGGAUGUAACACCCUGGCAAGGAGCAGGCAGUGGUAUUAAUGCUCUACUUGGUUGGCUCAUGGAAGCUUAGAAAAAGCAAUGGCUUGCACUAAAUGAAACAGAACUGCCAGCACUGCCAUGGCAAAUAGUGGGUGAAGGGAUCAAAAGACUCAGAGAAGUGGGCAUGCUGGUGUAGACAGGCUACUGAGGACAGAAAACUCACCAGGCGGCUGUGGUCCACAGGAGGACCUGAAGAACAUUCUAUUUUUCCCAAGUGAUAAGGAAUGUGCUAGUGAAUAUGGCCACCAGCAUGGGUAAAAAGUCCAGUGGCUGCUCCUCUCUAGGCCAGGGCUGAUGGGAGAUGCCCAUGCAGAAAGAAGUACGCUUCUAAUUCUGAUGAGGAUGACAGAAUCUCAAAAUAAUAGAGGCCAGUGAUGGCACGCCACUGCCAGCAGCAAGGUGGGUAAGAUUACUAUAAUACAUGACAAGAACAGUUGUAAUUCACAGCAGCCAGAGGAGUCUGUUCCCAUAGAGAAUUAUAAGAUGGUAUUAGAACAUAGUAUUCCUAGGGGGCAAGAUAUAGCUUAAUUUAUACAACUAAAGGGAAUCAGAUGGAUGAUAAAGGCUCAAGGCAGCCAUCCCAGUAAAAAAUUAUGAACAGUUGCCUAUCAGACCUCUGACUGAAGGGAGGCUGAGCUGCAUAAGGAAGGAUCCUACAAUGUCAUGGCAAAUGUAUAUGGUAGUGAUGGUCCCUCUCCAAAUGGACCUCUAAAGGGACCUCAGAAGAAAGGAGAAUAACCAGAUAUUUCAAGGCCUGUCGGACACAGGAUGAGUUAACACUGAGAAGCAGAGACCUGAAACAUCAUCAUUAUGGAGCCCAGCUCAUACAUGGCAUCCUGGGCCAGGCCAAGUCAUAGUGGACCCACUGUGCCCAUAGAUCCCCCGGAUGCUCAUUUCCCUGAUCCACAAAUAGAUCACUGGAAUGGACAUGUUUCCCAAUCAGAAUAACCCCAUAUGGUCCUCAGCCUGUGGGGAAGAACCACUGUAGGGGGAAAAGUCAAGUGGAAGCCUCCGAAACUGCCUCCCCUGACCAAAAUAGUAUGUCAAAAACCAUAUUCCAUCCCAGGGGGGAUUGGCCUAACAAAUUAGCGUCACCCAUAAAGAUGAAAGAAUGUGCAGGUGGAGGUGCGUAUCAUACCCCCUUUUAAAUCACAUCUGGUUCCUGCACAAACCAGAUGUAUCCUAGCAGAAGGCAAGUAGACAACUGUGAACACAACCAAAGGGUAGCCCCAGUGGUUGGUUAUCACGGCUUUGCCUGAGAGGUAUCCAGAAGAUGUUUCUUGGUUGAGCUUAACAGGCUAUCAGGAAUGCAGUACGCAGUCUGAUCUGGCAAAUGGCUGUUUUGCAUCCCGAUCAGGGGCCAUUUACAAUCUUGCCCCAGGGUAUAACUCUCCCAACCUCUGGUUGUUGUCAAAAAUGCCUUGGGGUGGAAUUAGGACCCCUGAGAGCAAGUCUGGGUUAGGUUAAAAAAAAAAAAAAAAAAAAAAUCUUGCAGGGUGAAGAGCAGGAGUAGACCAACUAAAAGUGUUUACAGAGAAUUGCAGUCAUAUGCAACAUAAUGUUGAGCUCCCUUUUGGAACACAAGCUCUGGGAAUCUGUACUCAUUUCUGGUACUCCUUUCCUCCCUCAGGAUGGACUGGGGCAAGAGACCUCUGGAAGCAAUGAAAGGGGUUACUUCCACAAGCCUCCUAGCCUCUCUCCAAGACCAACUUGGCCCACUUUUUGACCCCGUCCUGCAGAUUUUGCAUUUAUUGUACCUUCCUUCCCAGCCAUUCCAAACAAGAGACUUGCUCUUUCUCACCUAAAACUAAGCAGGGACCUCCAACUUCUUCCACCUGUUGGCCCUUAAACUCCACUCGCUGCAUCACAGGUAUCUUAGGAAUCCUUGACCCUCAGCCUCUAAGGCUCUCAGCCUGUGCCUCCCACAAUUGACCUGUGAGUCCAGCAGACCCCACAGGUGCCUCAGAGCUGCCCAAGUUCCUCUAAAAUAAUUUUUUGUAUGUAUAUAUGUAUUGAUGUAUU